This 282-nucleotide ribosomal RNA is filed under the name uncultured bacterium. RNAcentral describes it as "partial 16S ribosomal RNA". It matches the Rfam family "Bacterial small subunit ribosomal RNA", at positions 28 to 334 of the family's 1533-position model. The record is from RNAcentral.
GAUGAACGCUGGCGGCGUGCUUAACACAUGCAAGUCGAACGAAGUCCUUCGGGACUGAGUGGCGGACGGGUGAGUAACGCGUGAGGAUCUGCCCUUAGGAGGGGGACAACCAUUGGAAACGGUGGCUAAUACCCCAUAUGCCGAGAGGUGAAACGGUUAAUUCCGCCUAUGGAUGAACUCGCGUCUGAUUAGCUAGUUGGUGGGGUAAUAGCCUACCAAGGCAUUGAUCAGUAGCUGGUCUGAGAGGACGAUCAGCCACACUGGGACUGAGACACGGCCCAG